Molecule: long non-coding RNA, 2873 nt
Filed under: Solanum tuberosum (potato)
Lineage: Eukaryota; Viridiplantae; Streptophyta; Magnoliopsida; Solanales; Solanaceae
Description: long non-coding RNA (STUB_LNC003534)
Source: RNAcentral
CCCACUAAAGCCAAGUUAAAUGACGUAUUUAUAUAUUGACAGCAUUUUGGAAAGACUCAAAAGUGGAACGUCCAAAUCAAAGAGGAAAAAUAAUUCUCUCCCCUACAAUACUUAUUGCCUUGUAGAGACAACUGGUAAAAGGUAGCAAACCAAUUUCCCAAAAUAGUGCGCAAAAUGCAUGCCUAUGAUUCAACAUUCCAGCUAUAAAAAUUGCAAACAUCAACCACUGUACAAGUGCAGUAAGUUCAACAUGCACAAACCAAUGCAGGGAGUCCCUCGCGACUAAUUUACCUACAGUGGCACAUAAGGGGAAAAACAGAAUGGCCCUCCUAAUCUGCAACAAUCCUACUAAACUAUCAUACAAUCACAACUCACUCUUAGUUCUAAGUACAAACAUCCCUCACUGACGCCUACUAGACUGCACAACACUAUCCCAAACCUCAAAACCAUCAAUUCUUUGGCUUUCUGAUAUGGUUGAUUCAGAAGGAUCAGAUUCAACUCCCUGAGACUUCUUUAAUUUUGCAAUUUGAACCCACAUAUUUGCCAGUUCGUUUUCAAGAUAGGCUUCUCUUUGUUUGGAUUCUUCAACCUUACUCUGUAAUUCAGCUUCUUUAUGAUCCCUUUCCACAAGAGCAGCUUCAUAUGAAAGCUCCCUUUCCCGGCUCAAAGCCAGUUCUCUUUUCAUUUCUGCACUCAAUACAUUUUGCUCAUUUCGUCUCGGAUGAGGAUCUCUUCUUCCAUUUCGCAUGGCAACACUUGGCUUACGCUGGGUAGAGGAACUCUUCUGGGCAGCAAGCUCAGCAGCUAAUUUCUCAUUAUGAUUCAUUAGCUUCGCAACUUCUUCAGAAAGUGCCUUUAAUUCAACCGCUGCUGCAGACGCUAGCCCUUUGGCAUAUGUACUUUCUUCUGCCAAUUUCUGGUUCCGGAGCUCCAGUUGCUCCUUCGCCUCAACCAAUUCCGUCACUCUCUUGUGGAGUUCUUCAAUCUCUCUUGCCUGACAGGAGCAAAAGCAACAAUUCAGUUGACAUAUUGUUGUGGAUGAGGAUGGUGGAUACAUAAUACAAGAAUGUUAACUACAACUUAAUAUGUAUGGGGUACUCCUCAAGUAUUUUGAACAUUUUGUGUGUAAUACAAACAUGUAUGCAUAGAUAUAAAUCUGUAAUCUCUCCAAGUGCCAUAAUGGGACAAUGCCCCCGCCAGUGAAGUGUUCAUAUCUUUUGCCUUUUUCUUUUACAAAAAACAAUAAAUUGUGUUAUUUUGUACAAUACAAUUCUAUUUUUUUAGAAUCUUUUUUCCCCAAAAGGUAAUGAGAAGAAUUCUAGAAUGGAUGCUACCUAUGCCAGGACCACGGAUAAAUGGGAACUUUUUUUAUAAGACCUUCUCAAUUGUAGACAAUAUCUUAUUAUGAGUAAUUCCAACAACUUCAUACAAUUCUUUUCUUUGUGGAAUCUUUUUCAUUCCUAGGAAUAUUUGUAAUAAAUGGUCCUUCAUAUUUAUUCAUUGAUGAAGUUAUCAAUCUAAAAUGCUAUUUUUCCCCACCCUGCAUUGAAUGUAAUUUCUGGAAUAAUAAUGACAGAUCUAUUCCUUCCUUGCACUGUAACAAUGCUUAUAAAUCUUCCGAACUUGUGUUUUCUCAAACAAAAGAAGAUUGCCUGUUGCUUGCGUAAUUACCACCUUCUCAUAUGAGAUGAUUUAUAAGCAAAUUGUAGAAGGACGCCGGAAAUAAAUCAGAGGUCACAGGAGAAAAAAGAUUCACCCCUCGAAAACUGUGCCUGAGAGCUUUUCUACUUUUAAAAUAUAACUUAUUUUGAAUAUGCACAGAGAUCAUGUCACUCUCUUUGGGAUUACACUUAUUAAAAGAAUAGGUUAUUGAAAGAAACAUUUUCUGAAGACAACUUGAGGGCUCUAAAACUGAUCCCAACACAAUCCAUCCCUCUAAUUUCAGAACUCUCUAUUUCAUAUCUUGCCCAAAAAUGAAAUGUUCUAAACCAACCAGAGAAUCUCUCCUUCUGUUCUUGUCUGAAAAAAUGUUCUAAACAAAAUAUUGGAGUACUUGUUCAAAACAUCGAAAAAAUUACUUUAACCCACACAGUAAUGGAGCUCCAUCUUAAGUAGAAAAUGACACAACACAAUCAUCAACUAGAGCACUUAGUUCGCAUUACAAUUUUUUUUAUGACCGUGGUGUCCGGGCCAGCUUUUGUGCACCUCAACUAAUUCCACAGGAUACCUGCCACCUCCCACCAGCCACAGGUACCACCUAACUCUGUCCACCAAGGAUAGGACAGAUGGAAGAAUCACCUAGUGCUUUUUGUCUCCACUAAACCUGAGACCUCAGCGUUCUCAACCACUUCAUUGACCACUAGGCCACACCCUUGGGUGCAGUUCGCAUUACUAUUAAAGAUGAAAGACUUAUUGAAUAUGAAUAUACCGCAAGAACAAGCCAUUCCAUAGGGUAUAUACUUGUGGCAGAAGCUGGAAACUGAGUACAGGCAGCCUCUUCCAGUCGGAAAAUUAAAAUAGCUUAGCCUCAGAGAUUAGGCAUUGCAAAGAUUAGGUAUUGCAAGGAGAAAAAGAUAACAAGCCAAAAGUUGCAUACACAUACACUUAUAUUUAAACAAUAAUAAUGUGAUUAUCAUGGAAUGUUGCAUCAAAAAGAAAUAUGAUUGUCAGCGUAUUUAACAGUAGGUGGCAAACUCAAUAAGAAAUCCUAAAGACAUUUGCAGAAGGUUUUCUAGAUGUGGAGAAACACUUUGCAAACAAAAAUGGGAACAAAAUGUAAAAUGCUGAGAGAAUAUGACCUUAAGCUUGAGGCUGAUUUUAUCCCUGUAGUAAGAUUCUUUUUGUUUCAUCUUUCUCAUUCUAGCAAAUCAUUU